RNAcentral lists this ribosomal RNA (464 nucleotides) under uncultured bacterium. Its description in RNAcentral is "partial 16S ribosomal RNA". It matches the Rfam family "Bacterial small subunit ribosomal RNA", at positions 28 to 507 of the family's 1533-position model. The record is from RNAcentral.
GACGAACGCUGGCGGCGUGCUUAACACAUGCAAGUCGAACGGAAAGGCCCUGCUUGCAGGGUACUCGCGUGGCGAACGGGUGAGUAACACGCGGGUGAUCUGCCCUGCACUUCGGGAUAAGCCUGGGGAACUGGGUCUAUUACACGAGAGAGGCCCUUCUUAGGGAGAUGGUUGGUAAGAUUUUUCGGUGUAGGAUGGGCUCGCGGCCUAUCAGCUUGUUGGUGGGGUAGUGGCCUACCAAGGCGGCGACGGGUAGCCGGCCUGAGAGGGUGGACGGCCACAUUGGGACUGAGAUACGGCCCAGACUCCUACGGGAGGCAGCAGUGGGGAAUAUUGCACAAUGGGCGCAAGCCUGAUGCAGCGACGCCGCGUGCGGGAUGACGGCCUUCGGGUUGUAAACUGCUUUCGCUAGGGACGAAGCUUUUGUGACGGUAAUGGGUUAAGAAGCACCGGCUAACUACGUG